Molecule: ribosomal RNA, 252 nt
Filed under: uncultured bacterium
Lineage: Bacteria
Description: partial 16S ribosomal RNA
Rfam family: Bacterial small subunit ribosomal RNA
Source: RNAcentral
UACGUAGGGGGCAAGCGUUGUCCGGAAUUAUUGGGCGUAAAGCGCGCGCAGGCGGUAAUGUAAGUUGGGUGUUUAAACCUAGGGCUCAACCUUGGGUCGCACCCAAAACUGCAUCACUUGAGUGCAGCAGAGGAAAGUGGAAUUCCACGUGUAGCGGUGAAAUGCGUAGAGAUCCGGAGGAACACCAGAGGCGAAGGCGGCCUGCUGGGCUGCACCUGACGCUGAACCGCGAAAGCCAGGGGAGCGAACGGG